UUGGGUGACCAGCGGAGGGAUCAUUACCGAGUUUACAACUCCCAAACCCAAUGUGAACGUUACCAAACUGUUGCCUCGGCGGGAUCUCUGCCCCGGGUGCGUCGCAGCCCCGGACCAAGGCGCCCGCCGGAGGACCAACCAAAACUCUUAUUGUAUACCCCCUCGCGGGUUUUUUACUAUCUGAGCCAUCUCGGCGCCCCUCGUGGGCGUUUCGAAAAUGAAUCAAAACUUUCAACAACGGAUCUCUUGGUUCUGGCAUCGAUGAAGAACGCAGCGAAAUGCGAUAAGUAAUGUGAAUUGCAGAAUUCAGUGAAUCAUCGAAUCUUUGAACGCACAUUGCGCCCGCCAGUAUUCUGGCGGGCAUGCCUGUCCGAGCGUCAUUUCAACCCUCGAACCCCUCCGGGGGGUCGGCGUUGGGGAUCGGCCCUUUACGGGGCCGGCCCCGAAAUACAGUGGCGGUCUCGCCGCAGCCUCUCCUGCGCAGUAGUUUGCACACUCGCAUCGGGAGCGCGGCGCGUCCACAGCCGUUAAACACCCCAAACUUCUGAAAUGUUGACCUCGGAUCAGGUAGGAAUACCCGCUGAACUUAAGCAUAUCAA
RNAcentral lists this ribosomal RNA (599 nucleotides) under Trichoderma virens. RNAcentral describes it as "eukaryotic LSU rRNA". The stretch from base 227 to 380 matches the Rfam family "5.8S ribosomal RNA". The record is from RNAcentral. Lineage: Eukaryota; Fungi; Ascomycota; Sordariomycetes; Hypocreales; Hypocreaceae.